AUUGCAAGAAGACUCCUAAAGCCUCCGCGCACAGUAGCAAUUUAGCAAUGGAAUACGAGUAGGGAAUGGAUAAUUAGCGAACGUGAUAUUUUAAAUGCUAACAAAGAAAUGAUACCAAAUUCCCAAUCUUAGCUUGACAAUAACACCAUAGUAUGAAAUCAUUCUAAUAUUUAAUUUCUGCCAUUAAUGGCACAUUUAAAAACCGCAAAUAAAAUGGGAAAUGCUUAUUAUAGAAAGUGAUGAAAAGAUUAAUAAAUUAAAAGCUCUUAAUUAAGAUUAGGAAAAAAAUUAUUAGAGGAAAUUUAACCAACAUUGCUUUUUCGCAGAUUUUGUGAACUUUCCUCAUACCAACUAAAUGCAGUAUUGAGCCAGGCAAGAGGGCAUCACAGAGAGGAUGGAAGCGGGAAGCGGUCUUUCUUGCUGCUGCCAGCCCUGCAAUGAGAGUGAGGUGCCUGCCUCCCCUGCCGAUGGUGAGCCUCCACCAUAUGUUCCCAAUAGUGUUUUCCAGUGUGUGGCUUUUGCCCACCUGCACCAGCAUUUCCGGGAGCACAGGCUGGAAAUGAAGCUCCAGGGCCCACCCUAGACCGUUGAACUAGGAUCUCUUGGUGGGUCUGAAGAACAUGGCAGUUCUCCAGUUGAGAAGAAGUGCUGUCAGAAGAAAUGCUGUCACCCAACAGGAACAAGGAGGCCUAGAGGAGAGCAGCAAGAAGAGCAGAGCUGAGUCAAGACACCCAGGGGACAAAGCAGGAGCUUUCGACUCUUUCAUGAUCGUGAGGAGCUUUCCUCAGUCAUCCCAGGUGCAAGGGGCCACGUGAAGCUUUUCAGCGAACUUUCUAUCAGGUAUCCAAGUUGCUUUGCAUGCAAGAACCCACACUAGAACUUGGAACAAGAAUAAACAGUAGGUGAUACAGGCAGAAAUAGAGAUGGAGACAGAAAUGGAGUCAGAGACAGAGAUGGAGAUGAGAAUGGAGGUGGAGAUGGAGUUGAGGAUGGAGAGAGAGAAUAGAGAUGUCAAUUAACAAAGACCAAGAAUAACACAGACUCCGAGACCAAAGGAUUUGAUGUCCACCUACAUAAAUGUAAACAAUGACAAUUUGCCUCAUACCUUUAUACUAAAUCUUUCAGCGUAAAGCAGAAUGCCAUAGUCAUUAAGUGUUCUGUCUCAGGAGGCACAUCAGCCUGUAUUAAAGCCCAGGUUCCAGGGCAACCUUGGGCAAGUUUCCUGACCUCUAUAAGCCUAGUGUCUUCACCUCUGACAAUAACACUGCCUGCAGAUAUCUGUAAAGCACAGGCCUCCUAAAGAGUAAAGAAUCAGUAAAUGUGAACCACUGCUGAGACAGAAGUCAACUCCUUAUACAAGACCGUGUUCUAAUAGCAAUGUGUUAACAUCUCUCAACUGUCAGACAAGUUCCUUGACUCAAGCUUGUCAAUGAUGUCGAUGAGCAAGGAAUUAGAAAGAGGAGAUGAAAGGUAAAGUAGAUAAUUUCAAAGAGGCUCAGAGGAAACUGCAUUUAAAUAUCUGCAUUCAAAUACUACUAGACAAAGCAAACGAGGUGAGGGGAACUGGGCUUUUGGGGAAAUAUUUUUGCCCUGACUGCAGCCCAACGGUGCUUCAGCUUUUGAGUGUGGGAGAAAAUG
Molecule: long non-coding RNA, 1638 nt
Filed under: Macaca nemestrina (pig-tailed macaque)
Lineage: Eukaryota; Metazoa; Chordata; Mammalia; Primates; Cercopithecidae
Description: lncRNA (ENSMNEG00000045853.1)
Source: RNAcentral